RNAcentral lists this ribosomal RNA (251 nucleotides) under uncultured prokaryote. Its description in RNAcentral is "partial 16S rRNA". It matches the Rfam family "Bacterial small subunit ribosomal RNA", at positions 525 to 775 of the family's 1533-position model. The record is from RNAcentral.
AAGGAGGGUGCAAGCGUUAUUCGGAAUUACUGGGCGUAAAGGGCGUGCAGGCGGGAGAGCAAGACUGAUGUGAAAACCCGGGGCUUAACCCCGGAAGGGCAUUGGAAACUCCUUUUCUUGAGUACUGGAGAGGAAGAGAGAAUUCCCGGUGUAGAGGGGAAAGUCGUAGAGAUCGGGAGGAACAUCAGUGGCGAAGGCGCGCUUCUGGACAGCAACUGACGCUGAGACGCGAAAGCGUUGGGAGCAAACAG